CGUCCCCGUUUUCAAUUCGUCUUCCUCGAGCUCGCUGGGAUAGUAGACCGCGCCGCCGCACCCGCAUGAUCUCCUACCCGCCGCCAUUUCGUGCCCCCAUGAAAGGAUUUAGUUGAGAUUGGUCUGUAGAAGGGGCGCACAGUUGCAGAUGCCAGGCCGUGAGAGCCGCCGCCGAGGAUGGAAAUGAGGAACACGCGAUGGGAACGGGCACACCCACGCCGGCCGAGCUCCACACCAUCCAGCCCACCCCUCUUCGUCGUGCACGGCCGAACGAGGGCGACUUCAUUGGUGGUCUGCAACCCCGGCGAGGCGACAGCCAGCGGUUGCGACGUCGUCAUCCUGUACCCUCCCAGCUCACGCUGGUCUGCGGCGAAGGGGUGCCAUGGCGGCCGACGGGGAUGUAUUACCGAGGUAGGGUGUUGGUGGCCAGUCUCCAGAUUUUAGACCAACGGUGAGCAGGCAUCAGCAGCUGGUGUUGGUUGGAGAGACACAACGGGAUGCAUUUGCUGCGGCUAGGGGAGUCAUCCUGCUCCUGGAAGCUGUUGUGCUGCCUCUCAGCACGACUGCUGGCCUGCAUCUUCAUCACAUGUAGGUUAGAGUUGAGGACGAUGUGUUCGUUGGUGACGCUUUUCAGUCACUUUGUCUGGCGCCAUCAAGAACGAGGCCUUGACAGGUUCUAGAUGUCUUCCCUGUUCUUGUUUUAAAUUUUCGUGAUAAGUCACUCCGGCCAUGCUUUCUGAUGACUUCAUUGCUUAUAUGUUUUCUUUUUCAGUUUCAUAAGUUACGGCCUUCAUAGUACUUCCAUAGAUACAUUGUAGCCGAUACGCCUGUGAUGUCUAGCGACAAGAGACCGGGAAUCCUAGAAGCUCAUGUCUGUCCAAGGAUUCUCGACAAGCGUCCCCGUGAAUUUCGUAAUUUAGUUUUCCUUCUAAAUUAUAAAUGUUGAUAAGUAUUAUGUCCAUAGCCUCAUGUAUAUGUAGUUUGUCAUUUGCGCAAUGAAUGGCUAGCGAAAUUGCAAGAUUAAUGAUUCAUGUCAUAUAUCCAAUAUUAUUGUGAUGAAUGUUGUACUUUUUAAUCAGGAAUCAUGCACGAAAUUUUGUUGGUAUCCUGAUUGCCAUUGUGGAAGCCGUGACCUGUGUCCUGUGGGAGCCAACUUGGACCUGGGAAUGCUAUUCUCAUUACGCUUUGUUUGUUGGAUCAUUGUCUUAUGUGAUAUGUCUAGAUAAACAUCUUAGGUGCUGACACACAUUAAUUGUUUCUUGCAGCUUCUACACAGGAAGUACACAGUGGAAAUUUCAUUAUUAACCUUCUCGGCAAAUGGAAAUAAUAUGAAUAUUCUGGUCAUUCUGUUACUACUAGUGGUCUUGCUUACAAUGUGACUGCACCAUCCAGGUGAAUUAUUGGUUAUAUUGCAUUGCUACCUUUUUCCAUUUUGUCGUCUAAGUUUUGGUUGCCCUAGAAAAUGCUGUUACACUAACCAUGUUAUGUAAACUGCAGUUUAGCUGAUAUUCUGGCGAAUCCAUUCCAUUAAUUUUUGAUUUUAUUAACCUGAAUCUGUACAGGUUCUUCACCGGCUAUAGAUUAUUGCAGUGAGUAUGUACACUAAUUGGCAAUGAAUAGAGAAAAGUAUCUUCAUGUGGCAGGGUGUCGCCUUGUUGCAGAUAACCAUCUGGAGUUCAUCACUAAGAAUAUAUCGCCUCUACCUGGAGUUCAGCAUUCAAAACCGGGUUGCCUAAAAUUUAGUACGACCUCAUGCCCAUGUUCAUAAGCACAUAUGUUUUUAUACUUUGCUCUAAUAUGUUAUGCCCGUCCAAAAAAUUAUUAUUCUUCCUGCUUUGCCUACUAAACAUGUAUGAUGAUGGCAUAAUGCUUUACUUGGCAUGAUGAUUUGCUUCCUAUUGACUGUUUUGUCCGCACUGACUUCUGUAUACGGCUCAUACAUUACAUGCUAAUCUACAGAGCAGCUUGCUUUAGAGAUUUUAUAAUGAAAGAUGGAAGAGGUACUGAAUGAAUUUUAAAGCAUUGCUUAAAGGAUCCAGAUAGUUAUGCUUUGGGUUAGUUUUUUUUAUUAGGAUCUCUCUAGGAACUUUUCCCUCUAUACUGUGUUGUUGCCGCUGUAGGCCAGCAAGACGGUUGGUGUCGAUGAUGAAGAUUGCUUGUUUUGUCUGAUUAUGAAAUGAUUUGGACACAUAUAGAGUAUUACCGCCUUUAGCUUCCAAGGUAUGUUACCAUCCCAUGCCCCAUCUGCUUAGCUAACUUUUUUUGGUGAACUAGGAUACUGGGAUUAGCUAAAUACAGUUAUCCAAGAAGGAGAUGACCCUCUUACAAGACCUCUGAUUGGUGGAUUCUGUUGUUGUCACUGUCUUGCAUCAUUCAGAGAAAAGUCAAUUUAUUUUUAGCGUUGUUUGCAUGAAAAUUUAAAUAUAUAACAUGGCAAUAUGUGAAGUGGAACAAUUUAUUAGUCCUCAUAAUGCCAGAUUUGACUCCAUUAACUCUGUAGGUUGCGCCAGUUUUUCAAGCUUCGAUUAUUAGGAGAACAGUGUGAUAGGUGUUAAUCAUACAAAAUAUUGAUCUAGCCUCAUCAACAGUACUUAGGAAAAUACAAAUUUCAUGCAUUUACCAGUAUAAAGCUCAGAUAACAUUGUUUAAUAUUCUACUCCCUCUGUUCGGUAACUGGCAAUCAAAGUAACCCUACUGUUGUAUUUACUCCCUUGUUUACACAUAUAAGAGCCAUAUUCUAACUGUAUGCCAUGUGGACAUGUGGUACUUUGAUUGUCUGCGCCCAAAAGCAAGGCUAGGGCCCAAUUAUGGCUCGACGUGUGGACCAAUGAAAAACACAGAAGCAAGGCCAGCGCCCAGCCUCUCAAGAUUAACCUUGCUGUAAGCACACUUACUGUAAGCACUUCAUUUGAUAUGCCAAAAUGCUCACUUAUUGUCAGCCCGGUCGAUUUAGCUUCCAUAAAUUUAAUCGAUAUUAACUUCCAAAUUUUACUGUGGUGCUUGUAUGUUCACAGAGAACCAUUGACAUAUGGUGUAGUGACAGUAUUAAAUACAACAUUAUUGUUUGUGGAUGAAAAAAUUAUGCGUGGUUUUCAGUUUAUGGUGAUCUUUAUUGUUAUGUUCAUUAACUUUUAGCGUUUGGGUAUAUUUGCUAUGCUGCCAUCUGCUUACAGGAAGGUGACUGACUGGUUGUUUUUUUCACCUGCUAAUUAUCAGAUUGUUGAUAAAGAAACAGUCCAUUUAUACAGCUACCCUUAUCUCUUCAUGCUACAAAACGAAAGAGAUUUGGUUUUUUUCCUUAUCUGAGUGCGCAGCAGCAAUGUGUUAUUUCUGUACACAAUGAUUGUUGCCUUUUGGUCACAACUGACUCUCCUCUUUUUAUCUCAAUUUUUUGUAUUCAGAUGUAUUAAAAAAUUACUCCUAUUUGGAUGUUCUUUGUUAAAUAUUGAUGAAGAGUUCAGGUAGUCAACUGGAUGAACAUGCAUCUUUUUUGAUUGCUGAAGAACAUGCAUCUAUCUUUACCAAGAUGUGUAGAUUCCAUUACUUGUCAGAAUAUCCCUAUGAUCCUGUUGUUGAUUUCUGUUGUAGAUAUCAGUAUCAUUUUCAUACCACGACGAUAAUCUGCAAGACCAGCUUAGUUCAGAGUUUAGGCUGCUCCUGAAUUUCAUUCAUGUGUGCAUCUUUUGGCUAUGUAAACUUGUAAAGCACGUGUGGUAGCUUAGUUCAGUUUUGAUCCACUUUUCCAUACAUUUUUUUUUCAUGUAAGAUUGUUGGUUUCUGUAAACAACUAGGUCCCCAUUUGGUAUUUCUUUGGAUACAAACCUGAA
This is a long non-coding RNA of Lolium rigidum, 3827 nucleotides long. RefSeq lists it as uncharacterized. NCBI's taxonomy places the organism in Eukaryota, Viridiplantae, Streptophyta, Magnoliopsida, Poales, Poaceae. The transcript is spliced from 3 exons. The record is from RefSeq and is a predicted model, not a curated record.